Molecule: unclassified non-coding RNA, 360 nt
Filed under: soil metagenome
Description: partial contains 5.8S ribosomal RNA, internal transcribed spacer 2, and large subunit ribosomal RNA
Rfam family: 5.8S ribosomal RNA (bases 1-120)
Source: RNAcentral
GAUGAAGAACGUAGCGAAAUGCGAUAAGUAAUGCGAAUUGCAGAAUUCAGUGAAUCAUCGAAUCUUUGAACGCACAUUGCGCCCGCCAGUAUUCUGGCGGGCAUGCCUGUCUGAGCGUCGUUUCGACCCUCGCGCCCGGCUUCUGUCGGGGGCGGUGUUGGGGAUCGGCCACACCCUUCAGUGGGAGGCCGGCCCCUAAAUUCAGUGGCGACCACGCUGUAGCCUCCCCUGCGUAGUACUAAAACCACCUCGCAGGCGGAGAGCGGUGCGGACCGCCGUAAAACCCCCCAACUUUUACAAGGUCGACCUCAGAUCAGGUAGGAAUACCCGCUGAACUUAAGCAUAUCAAUAAGCGGAGGA